RNAcentral lists this ribosomal RNA (688 nucleotides) under Salmonella enterica subsp. enterica serovar Typhimurium. RNAcentral's name for it is "bacterial SSU rRNA". It matches the Rfam family "Bacterial small subunit ribosomal RNA", at positions 1 to 676 of the family's 1533-position model. Lineage: Bacteria; Pseudomonadati; Pseudomonadota; Gammaproteobacteria; Enterobacterales; Enterobacteriaceae. The record is from RNAcentral.
UUAAAUUGAAGAGUUUGAUCAUGGCUCAGAUUGAACGCUGGCGGCAGGCCUAACACAUGCAAGUCGAACGGUAACAGGAAGCAGCUUGCUGCUUUGCUGACGAGUGGCGGACGGGUGAGUAAUGUCUGGGAAACUGCCUGAUGGAGGGGGAUAACUACUGGAAACGGUGGCUAAUACCGCAUAACGUCGCAAGACCAAAGAGGGGGACCUUCGGGCCUCUUGCCAUCAGAUGUGCCCAGAUGGGAUUAGCUUGUUGGUGAGGUAACGGCUCACCAAGGCGACGAUCCCUAGCUGGUCUGAGAGGAUGACCAGCCACACUGGAACUGAGACACGGUCCAGACUCCUACGGGAGGCAGCAGUGGGGAAUAUUGCACAAUGGGCGCAAGCCUGAUGCAGCCAUGCCGCGUGUAUGAAGAAGGCCUUCGGGUUGUAAAGUACUUUCAGCGGGGAGGAAGGUGUUGCGGUUAAUAACCGCAGCAAUUGACGUUACCCGCAGAAGAAGCACCGGCUAACUCCGUGCCAGCAGCCGCGGUAAUACGGAGGGUGCAAGCGUUAAUCGGAAUUACUGGGCGUAAAGCGCACGCAGGCGGUCUGUCAAGUCGGAUGUGAAAUCCCCGGGCUCAACCUGGGAACUGCAUUCGAAACUGGCAGGCUUGAGUCUUGUAGAGGGGGGUAGAAUUCCAGGUGU